AUUGAACGCUGGCGGCAUGCUUUACACAUGCAAGUCGAACGGCAGCGCGGGCUUCGGCCUGGCGGCGAGUGGCGAACGGGUGAGUAAUGCAUCGGAACGUGCCCAGUAGUGGGGGAUAGCCCGGCGAAAGCCGGAUUAAUAUCGCAUACGACCUGAGGGUGAAAGCGGGGGACCGAAAGGCCUCGCGCUAUUGGAGCGGCCGAUGUCGGAGUAGCUAGUUGGUGGGGUAAAGGCUUACCAAGGCGACGAUCCGUAGCUGGUCUGAGAGGACGACCAGCCACACUGGGACUGAGACACGGCCCAGACUCCUACGGGAGGCAGCAGUGGGGAAUUUUGGACAAUGGGGGCAACCCUGAUCCAGCCAUGCCGCGUGCGGGAAGAAGGCCUUCGGGUUGUAAACCGCUUUUGUUCGGGAAGAAAUCCUCUGGGCUAAUACCCCGGGGGGAUGACGGUACCGGAAGAAUAAGCACCGGCUAACUACGUG
Molecule: ribosomal RNA, 484 nt
Filed under: uncultured bacterium
Lineage: Bacteria
Description: partial 16S ribosomal RNA
Rfam family: Bacterial small subunit ribosomal RNA
Source: RNAcentral